Pelobates cultripes (western spadefoot toad) is the source of this 8192-nucleotide non-coding RNA. The record is from the annotation of a GenBank genome assembly. NCBI's taxonomy places the organism in Eukaryota, Metazoa, Chordata, Amphibia, Anura, Pelobatidae.
AGUAAAUCAAAUAUAAACUUUGUUUCAAAUCAUUCCUCCUAUCAAGAUACACUUCUUACCAUACAUAUAUAUAUAUAUAGUUGGUUCGUGACCUCAUCAGAUUCCCAGGCAUUUCAUAUAUUACCCUCCUCCUUCUUGCUACAUUAGUUCCAACACUGACAGUUGCGAAUCAUAUUACUCAAGAAGGUGAGGCGAGUCCAGCCUGGGAGAGGAUUGAUAAACUUAAAGCAAUAAAGAAUCCUGUGAAAUUAGUUCAGGUAAUAACCCGAAAUGCUAAUAUCAUUCACGUCUAGAAUAUUUUUUUUAUCGAUUUAUGCUUGGAAAUGUUAUCAUAAAAAUAUAGCAUAAUUGUAGCUGCAUGAUCUAGAUGAGAUUGUAUUUCUCAGAGCUCCGAAUGGAAUGCAACCUAAAAUGUAUGUGAUUUUUGUGUUGUGUGGUGUGUUGUAUGUUUGAAGGCUUUUUUUUUUUUUUAUUAAAACUAUUAUUCCAAAAAAAUAUGUUGGCAUAAUAGCCUUAAAGUCAAAUUUUUCAUGACCAGAUUCCUAUUAAAUAAUAAUUUCUAAUGAGCAAAUAAACAUGGGUGGGCAAAACACAAUGUUUUUUUGCUAAAUAUAUUAUCUUGCCUUUUUUUUUCUAUAAUAAAUUAAGCAUUGGUUCUUUUCCAAAAUGAACAAUAUAUCAUAAAUGUUAUCCCUUCCUUAAGUUUAAAUAAUGGCUAUCAUAACUACAAAUCUACUAAAUGCGCUUUUUUAAAUAAAAUUAUUAUUUACUGAGUUGCCAGUGAUUGUUGUGAUCAGGUUUAAGCUCUGUUAAAUAUAUAUUAUAUGUUACACAGUUUGUUCAGAGAAUUUCCUUUUUCAUGCUGUAAUUAUUUCCAAUUGAUGACGUAUGUGUACAAAUAACUCGAUCAAACUCACAGCUGUUAAACUUGAAAUUUUUUUUUUUAUAAAACAGGGUAAUUGAUUGACUGAUUUAUUGGUUGAUUGACAAACAUCUACAAUUCCAUAGGUAAUUUUACUAUUUUUUCAAUUAGAUGCCAUUUAAUUAUUUUUUUUCAUUAAAAAAAUGUGUCAAAUGAGACUUAAGCAGGAGUACAAUAGGAAGUCCAGACAUUGAUUUAGACAUUUUUACAGAUGCUAGCUUUUCUGAUAUUUUUAUGAUGUCGCGAAACAUGGAUGCUGUCCAGGAAGUAGGAGGGUCUGGGAGGGAGGGUCUGCUGGAGAUUGGCCGGGAUGUGUCAGCUGACCGGAGUUCGCCACGAACAGCUCGUGGCGAACCGUGGCGAACUGUUCGCGAGAAGUUCGCGGACGGUUCGCGACAUCUCUAUCAGUGGCAUUUAGAGCCUUUGAGCAUUAAAGGGACACUCCAGACUUAUUAAGCACUUGAGCUUGCUGAAAAGCAUUAAGUGUGAAGAGUGUCCUAUUUUUUAAUUUUGCAAACAGUGCAGAUUUCACUUUUAUACAUCAACAUGGUAACACCCACUUGGCUUACAAGCAGACAACAGGUCUUGUAACAUUGUGGUUCUGUUAGCUCAGUGGAGCUAAACAAAAGAGGCAGUCACUGCCCAGAGCACCUGCCUUGCAAAGACUUCUCAUUGGACUGCAUUGUGAAGUCUAUGAUUGGAGAGCCACAUAAAAUCUGGGCUGGGAAAGAACAGGAGGGUUUUCAAAGGCAGCAGACAAGAGGUCUGCAGUUUUUAUAUAUACCGCCAAUGAAAACAAAUACAACAUUAAAUGCAUGCAUGUUUUCAUUUGGGUAUAUGUAUAAAUCAGUGACUUUUAUCUAUGUUUAUUUUGGCAGUGGAGUGUCCCUUUAAUUAACUUGUUGCAUACGUACCUUCAGCAGAGAUUUCUAUUGCAUUUCUUUAAAAUAUUUUAAACCUAAAAUACUUAAAAACAAAAAUAUUCUAAAUUCAAUCUUUACACAUAUUCUUGUAAGUAAUUCACAUUAUUUUCACUUAGAUUUUUUUCAUUAAAUGACAAUUUCAAGUAAAAACAUAUUCCAAUUUAGCCAAGUCAGAAAAACGUAAUAUUUUUAAAAGCUUGCUAAGCCUGAGAAUAUUGCAAGUGCUGUCAUUUUGGUCUAAAUGUGUUUCAGGUAGUACGAACAUAUCAAAUUUCUUUUAAUCUAUGUCCGAAUGAAUUGAUCCAUCCAGAAUUUACCCGUUUUAUUUGAUUAAAAGGAAUACGAUUUGUUCGAAAUGCAUCUGUGCACAAGUAUAGUGUAAAAGAUGAAUUUUGAUUGCAAAGUCAUCGUGGAGUGAACUCACCUCUACAGUUAUUUGAGGAUGACUGUCUCAAAUAUAUGUAAAAUAUGAAGAUGAUUUUGAACGAAUUUUCAUUACUAACCAUUUCUAAGGGACUGAGCAAUAACUUAUAAAAAUAGCGUUAUAAUCCUACUUGCAUUAUAAUAAAUAAAUAAUUUAAAAAAAUGCUACCCCAGUGACUAUUAAAUAAUUCUCAAUGAGAAGAAAUAAACUCUCUGGCAAAAAAUUUUUUUUUAUUGAAAAAAGGUAGUUUUGUAAAUAAAGAUCCUCCUUUUAAUAUACAAUUGAGUGGCUGCAAAUAUUUAUAGAACACUUUGUAAACUCUUUGCUGUACAUUCUAAUAUCUGUUUCACAGACUCCUUAAGGUGUCGCACAGACUGUAAAUGUCUUUCAACACAUUUCUCAGCUAAAACCUUAGGUUCCUGUCUGUCUAUGACAGUUGCGCGCUGUUCUAGAAGAAUUUCCCCUCACCCUCCUCAUGCCAUCAUCGGGCUUCCACCAUCCUGCCCCUCCUCAUAUCAUCACUGCAAGUUGCUAAGUCUUUCCACUCUGCCCUUCAGAGGAUCCCAAAAUAGAUGAUACAGUCAUUAUCUCUGUAACUAAAUAAUACUAACAUCUAUCCAUUAAAUAUAAUACUAUUGUUGCAGUGGGUCAUCUGCCCAGCGCCAAAGAACAAGCAUUUGCUAAGGAAAUUCUCGCCAUAUUUACGCACGGCUACUGAUAUUUACUGACAAUAACGUGCUACAUGAAUACGAAAUAUAUGGCUGUCACUGCUCAAAGGAGUCAGAAGUCAGAAUAUUUGUUUUCGUAAGAGAUUUAUUAAGGACAAGCUAAGGAUAUGGUGCUAAUUUGUUAAGCUGCGUGACAUUCAUACAAUGUAAUUAGAUGCACGGAUGUAUAUUAUGUGUAUAUGCCAUUGUUAACUGCGAUGAUUUUUCUUCUGAUAUGCCCAAACUGAAAUGUUACAUUGAGUGUUUAUAUUAAGUAUUGAUAUUUUACACAAAACGCUGGGAUAUAGGAGCAGGGAGUUGUCACACUUAGAUUAGAUGUGGUUGGAAAGUUGGUAGCCACUCCAAACAAAUUUAAAAGAAAACACUGCCUUGUAUUUUUGGUUUAGAAAACAUUAAUGUUUCCAUCUAAAUGUUGUGCACAGACAGAUUAAAUGUUGCUGCAAAGCAAUGCAAUAUUACAGUUAGCAUCUUAUGCCCACUAGUGUUUCACUAAGCUUCCAAGCAGGGGUUGUCUUGGUCAAUCCGUUUUAAUUGUGCAGAUUAAAAGGAACAUGAUAGUGUUAGGAAUAUAAAUGUAUAUUCCUAAUGCUCUAGGUGACUGGCAGCCACCUGUAGGGAGUAAAAAAUGGUGAUUUUACGUUUUCUACCUCACAGCGCUGGUCUCUGUGCUGCCAUCCCACCCCCUUGGCUGAUAUUAUUGAGAUUGAUCAUUUUAACCAAUCCAAUGUUUUCUACAGAAAAGCAAAGGGAGGCUAGUGUGCAUGCGCGGCCUCUGGUCUCUUAGACCAUCUGACUGACAUAGCAGACUUUUACUCUGCUCUCCAUUCGGAAGCACUUCUAGUGGCUGUCAGAGUGACAGCCAAUUGAGGGAUUUAAAUCCUGUAAUGAAAACACUGCUAUUUUACAGAAUGAAUAUGUUUUUGCUUGCAGGGUUAAAAUGGGGGACAUGGCACUUAGAUCACUUCAUUGCAAUGAAGUGGUCUGAGUGCCUAUAGUGUCCCCUAAAGCAAAUUAUAGACAUUGAUAAUGUAAAAAGCACUUCAAAACUGCACUCUUCAGAAUAAUAUAAGAUCAAUAUCAAAACCACAUGAGAACUGCACAAUUUAAGGUUAAGUAAAUUGCGUUAUGCAUAAAAGUAGUUUUGAGAAUCACUACAACUCUAUCCUUACUAUACCUUACUGUGCGGUCUGGUAUCUGGUAGGUACUGUCCCCUAUAGUAACUAUUCUGCUGUGUGCAUAACUCCAUCUAUAGGGAAUGGAGCCAGAUCAUUGAGGUACCGUGAGGUCCCUCAUAGUAUGACGCCAUGGUAGCAUGUCCCUUGUGAGAGCCCCGUAAAAAGAGAGGGUUCAUUUCCUUAAAGUUUAAGGUGUUCUGUGUAAGAGGCACUUCUUAUUUAGUCAAUAUAGAAAGUUAGCAUCUCCCUAGCUACACACAAAUAGUGACAAUCAUGGAGCGCUAUAAGUGACAAAAUCACUUAUAGUUAUAUGCUAGACAAAAAGAGAUACAAUAUAGUGUAGUAUAUUGAGUAUUCCCAUGUGUGUAUUAAUAUAUUUCCUUAUAGGAAAGUUUAUUCUUAAAGGGACACUCCAGGCACCCAGACCACCUCUGCCCAUUGGAGUGGUCUGGGUGUCAACUCCCACUACCCUUAACCCUGCAACUGUAAUUAUUGCAGUUUUCAUAAACUGCAAUAAUUACCUUGCGGGGCUAAGUCCUCCCCUAGUGGCUGUCUACUAGACAGCCACUAGAGGGCACUUCCUGGUCCAUAGCACAGGUUUUCUGUGCUAUAGUGUCGCUGGACGUCCUCACACUUUGUGAGGACCUCCAGUGUUGCUAAAAUCCCCAUAGGAAAGCAUUGAAAAGCAUUUUCAAUGCUUUCCUAUGGAGAGGUCUAAUGCACAUGCAUGGCAUUGCCACGCAUGCGUAUUAGGUCUCCCCAGCCGCCGGGCGGGAUCAGUAUCCCGCACCAGCUGACGUAAUGAAGGGGAGGAAUGGCGGUGGAAGAAGAAGCGACGUGGGAGGUGGGAGGGAGAGGGGACCUGCAGUGCCUGGAAAAUGGAUUGUUUUCCUGGCACUGGAGAGUCCCUUUAACUUCUGUAUAGAAUCCAUUUGUACUGGCCCGCUUAGAAAAUGGAUCACUGCAUCUCUGGAAUAUCCUGCUGUUUCUUUCCAUGACUGUAAGACUCCAUCAGCCUUCUACAUUUUGGCUGAUAUUGGUGAGAAGAAAUGAAAGAGUAGACUCGUAGCAAAAUAAUAAUAAUAAUAAUAACAAACUAUUUAACCAGAAAAGGUGCAUUCAGAUUACUCUGGUUUACAAGUACCUCCUAGGGAUGUUACCUUUGCCCAACAACAAGGGGUUGUUACUAUUAUCCAAUUGAAUGGUACUCAUUUUAUCUACCUUGGAAGGAUGAAGGGCUGAGUCAACCCUGCCAGGAUUUGAACCUGGCAACUCAUCUAAUCUAUGUCAUCAGGUAUUCCUCUGAUUUACACAUUCUGUCUCCUUCCGCUAUUCUCCAAUAGUAUGUAGUUUAGCUAAUGGUGUUGACAAGUAGUUGAUUUUAGCUCAGCCAGUGUGGCAUGAGUUUUCAUCUGACGUCAUCUACCUCCAGCAAUCUGCCUUUCAAGCAAAACAUCUCUUCUUUUACAAUUGCAGUGUCUGCUUGAAAGAGUUGCCUGAUAUUCACCAGAAUAGGCCUUUUUGUCUUUAUCCUUAUUGAGGGUCUUCUGAUGCAGGUACCCUCCUUUAGGUAUCUUGUUGACAGUAUCAAGGUCUCAGAUGAGCAUAGAGCUUGCUGCUGUAUGAGGACUAACUUCUUUGUGGGCUGCGAAAGUAAGUUUAUAAUAUAUUGCGUUCUGUUAGGGCGAUUCAUAUCUGACAUCUUGCCCUUUACAUUCUCCUCAAGAGGCUUUGGACUGGAGAUUGGUUUGAGAGGUAUAUUGUCCAAUUUUAAGUAAAAUUACUAUAUUUUUCCUGGAACUUUGAAAUAGUUCAACCAGUCAGUUUGGCAGUUUACAAACUGUCCCCAAAGCAAUUUUUCACCUGGCAAAGAAACAUGAUUUUUUGCUAAGAUUUUAGUCAUCCCCUCCUGUUUUUGGAAAUAUUGACCCUUCCAUCCUUACGUUACAAGACCCUCUAUUGCCAAAAAAAAACAUUACCAGCAUUUUGCAGCCAGAUAGAGCUCUAUUCACACUACAGAGCUUCUACGGAGCCUGCAAAAACAGUCUGCAAUUCUUUGUACUGUACAGAUACCUGGCUUUUUCAUUGUUAUUGUUCAUACUGUGUAUGGAUAAAGACGUUCAUUUAACAUCUUAAUAUAAUUUUUGGAAAAUUAUAUUAUAUUCUAUACAAAUACCCAUAAGUAAGAUAUAUGAGUUGUUUUAUUUAUCUGUCUGAAAUAUCACAAGAGAAAUGUAUUUCUCUGAAGGCAGAAUAUAAAAUGAUAAGGAAACACAGUGUACAUUUCACAUAUUCUAAAUAUUUAAAUUAUCUCUCAAUUGCUUUCUCGUCCCAUUUUAAUGAGCUAACUAUUCAAUUCAUAAUUCAACUAAAUGUUGCACCAUUAGUUAAGCUGUAACAAAAAUAUGCAAUGUUUUUCUGUAAUUAUUGUUUUCUUUUAUAUAUUGCUUCUCUUAAAGGGACACUAUAGUCACCCAGACCCAGUUUCAGAGAAAUGCUAUGUUUACAUUGCAGGGUUAAUCCAGCCUCUAAUGGCUGUCUUCCUGACAGCCGCUAGAGGUGCUCCUGCAGAACGUCCAUAGGAAAGCAUUGAGAAAUGCUUUCCUAUGGACUGUUAAAAUGCGCAAUCGGCUCUUGACGCGCAUGCGCAUUCCGCUCCACUCGGGAGAUGACGUCGGCGGGGGAGGAGAGGUCACCAGGGCCGAGGGAGCCCGGCGCUGGAUUAAGGUAAGUGGCUGAAGGGUGAGGGUCCCCUAAGGAUUAUAUAGUGCCAGGAAAACAAGUUUGUUUUCCUGACACUAUAGUAAUCCUUUAAGUACUUCCAGCUUUUGUAAAAAUAUUGACAGUCAUAUGUCUCUGAAGCUAGAUUUUAUAUUAUUUUUCCACCUAUUGGAAGCAUGUCUCUAUUUAGGGUAUACUAUAGUCACCCAUACCACUGGGUGUAGAGUCCCUGUAAUGUUAGCCCUGCAACAUCAAACAUUGCAGUUUCAGAGAAAACUCUCUCUGUCUACCAUACAGCCACUGGAGGUGCUUCCUGCAAUUUCAUUGAGUUUGACUUCAUGAAGUGACACUGGGCAUCCUCUCCUCACGCUUUGCUUGAGGACAUUCGUAGGGAAGCAUUAAUUCAAUACUUUCCUGUAGGGAAGGCCUAAUGCGCAUUAGGUUCCCUCAUUGGCUGACAUCAGAGGAGGUGGAGCCCCACCCAACGCCAACAGAUUUUCACUUCCUUUAAACUCAAAGUUCCAAAUACGUUUAUCAUUUUUUCUUAGCUUACAUGACUGGUACAGCCUUUUUAUUUUAUUUUUUUAAGAAUCUUGAUUAAUUUUAUGAUUACCAAUUAUUAUCUAAUGAUUUGCUCUGGUGUAUAAUAAAAUAAUCCCUAUGCUUUAUUUCCAGCACACUGAGCUGUGGUGAACAUUCCACGAGUGUCUGCUGAAAUCGUCUCUUGGCAUUCUUCUGAGACAAUCCUAUAAGAUGGAGAGAUCCACACAAGAGCUGUUCCUCAACUUCAUGAUUGUGUUAAUCACUGUGCUGCUGAUGUGGCUUCUGGUGAAGUCUUACCUGGAAUAAAAGGACUAAAUGAUGAUUUUUGGAUCAACCUAAGUCGAUGUUUCCAGUCCCUUCAGUGUUGACAUAGUCUUUACAGUCUCCAUCAACACUGAAGGGGCAGAAGUCAAUGCGCCAUGUACAGUAUCUUCAUACCAAGUGUGUCCUACUGCUCGUACCAUCAACAACGCCAUUGAUGGUGUGUGGAACGCAAGAUUUGCCUGUUCUUCAUGCAUACAAGGCAGCUUCAUGUUUUUGACACAAUGUUAACUAAAAGUUCCAUCAAUUAUUGAUAAUAAAUACUGUAAAAUGCCUUUACUAUAAGGGGGUGUGGGUUUUCCCCCACAGGAUGUGGGUUUUCCGCCACAGAAAUCUAAAAAGAUGUCUUAAUAUAAUUUCUUGUUCUAUCCCACAAACUGGGACACAAAAUAUUUCAGCUGAAUAAACAUAUGGUUGGAGAAAUUAGCGUAUUGC